GAGGGAGACGGUAGUGGCCGAUGCCGUCACUGACGACGGCGAUGGCGACAUCCACUCUCCGCUGGCUAUGUUAUCCAAACUACCACUGAUACGAUGAAGGUGAAUAUGAUAGGAAAAAGAUAGGUGGGGAAGAAUCAUAAGUGAGGGUAUAUUUUGCCGUGUGUGUGUGAAUUCAAGGUGUGAAAAUGGUUAACUAUACAAAGAUUAAACAAUAACAAUAAUAACAUUUCUCGAUCAGGUGGCAAAAUGAAUGCAAAUUUGAAUUUGU
This 268-nucleotide long non-coding RNA is filed under the name Helianthus annuus (common sunflower). RNAcentral's name for it is "sRNA HanXRQr2_Chr17g0812751". Lineage: Eukaryota; Viridiplantae; Streptophyta; Magnoliopsida; Asterales; Asteraceae. The record is from RNAcentral.